GAUGAACGCUGGCGGCGUGCCUAAUACAUGCAAGUCGAGCGAAGAGGGCACGGGUGAGUAACACGUGGAUAACCUGCUAUAAGACUGGGGUAACUUCGGGAAACCGGAGCUAAAACGGCUAAUUAUCGAUGGAUCCGCGCUGCAUUAGCUAGGUGGUAAGGUAACGGCUUACCAAGGCAACGAUGCAUAGCCGAACUGAGAGGGUGAUCGGCCACACGGGAACUGAGACACGGUCCAGAUUCCUACGGGAGGCAGCAGUAGGGAAGCUUGCGCAAUGGGCGCAAGCCUGACGGAGCAACGCCGCGUGUGUGAUGAAGGUCUUCGGAUCGUAAAACUCUGUUAUUAGGGAAGCGGUACCUAAUCAGAAAGCCACGGCUAACUCCGUGCCAGCAGCCGCGGUAAUUC
RNAcentral lists this ribosomal RNA (405 nucleotides) under uncultured bacterium. RNAcentral describes it as "partial 16S ribosomal RNA". It matches the Rfam family "Bacterial small subunit ribosomal RNA", at positions 28 to 526 of the family's 1533-position model. The record is from RNAcentral.